CCCUUAGAUGUUCUGGGCUGCACGCGCGCUACACUGAUGCAUGCAACGAGUUUUCGACCUUGCCUGAAAAGGUUGGGUAAUCUGUUUAACAUGUGUCGUGAUGGGGAUAGACCAUUGCAAUUAUUGAUCUUCAACGAGGAAUUCCUAGUAAGCGCGAGUCAUCAGCUCGUGCUGAUUAUGUCCCUGCCCUUUGUACACACCGCCCGUCGCUCCUACCGAUUGAGUGAUCCGAUGAAUGAUUCGGACCAGCGUGCUGCUCAGAUCCUGCGCAGUGUGCUGGGAAGUCUAGUGAACCUUAUCACUUAGAGGAAGGAGAAGUCGUAACA
This 326-nucleotide ribosomal RNA is filed under the name uncultured eukaryote. Its description in RNAcentral is "partial 18S ribosomal RNA". It matches the Rfam family "Eukaryotic small subunit ribosomal RNA", at positions 1470 to 1796 of the family's 1831-position model. The record is from RNAcentral.